Molecule: long non-coding RNA, 699 nt
Organism: Fukomys damarensis (Damara mole-rat)
Lineage: Eukaryota; Metazoa; Chordata; Mammalia; Rodentia; Bathyergidae
Exons: 4
Source: RefSeq, a predicted model, not a curated record
AAAAGCUUUAGAUCAAACAGUAUAGUUGGUGACAUCAAGUCAACACAAGCUGCACCAACUGUCCCAGGCUGCGGGCAGCUCAGGGGAGGAGAGAGCCAAGCUGAGGACUUUGGAGGAGGCAGUGAAUCGGAGGAGACCCAGGAGAAAACAGCUCUCCCAGCUGAGAAAACAAUCUGCGUUUAAAAAGCACUGAGCAAGCACAAAUAUUUAGUGUGAUGGUGGAAGUGGAGAUAGGAGGAAGGGAAGGACUAAGUUGGAAGACUUUACUCUAGAUAAUGAAAAACAAAAGCAGUACCUGCUUUGCAAAGAAGACCAUAAGGGAUUUUUCUCCUUCUUGGAAGGAAAGUUUAAAGAAUAUUCCCACUUGGCUCAUCUAAGAUUCUGGGUGCAAAGGAGGAGUGCUACUCAUGGAGUCCCCCUUUGUAGUCUCCAACAAUAUUUGUUACAUAAUUUAGUGCCACAUUACUUACGUGGAUGGUAUAUGACUAGAGUUGUUGAUUCAUCUAAGUUGAGCAUUUUGAAAAGAUUCGAGAAAGGCAAAUCAUUUAAUAAAUGUUAUUAAAUGUGAGCACGACAACUAUAAAUGUCUACCAGGGUAACCAGACACUCAAGACUGGCUACAUGAUUUGCAGAGCUCAUUAUAAAGUGAAAAUGAGAGAGAAUUUGAAGACAGUGGCAACAAAGCAAUAAACCAAGUAA